Molecule: ribosomal RNA, 485 nt
Filed under: uncultured bacterium
Lineage: Bacteria
Description: partial 16S ribosomal RNA
Rfam family: Bacterial small subunit ribosomal RNA
Source: RNAcentral
AUUGAACGCUGGCGGAAUGCUUUACACAUGCAAGUCGAACGGCAGCACGGGGGGAAGCCCUGGUGGCGAGGGGCGAACGGGUGAGUAAUACAUCGGAACGUGCCCGGUCGUGGGGGAUAACGUAGCGAAAGUUACGCUAAUACCGCAUACGAUCGGAGGUUGAAAGCGGGGGCCCUUCGGGCCUCGCGCGAUCGGAGCGGCCGAUGUCAGAUUAGGUAGUUGGUGGGGUAAAGGCCUACCAAGCCGACGAUCUGUAGCUGGUCUGAGAGGACGACCAGCCACACUGGGACUGAGACACGGCCCAGACUCCUACGGGAGGCAGCAGUGGGGAAUUUUGGACAAUGGGCGCAAGCCUGAUCCAGCCAUUCCGCGUGCAGGACGAAGGCCUUCGGGUUGUAAACUGCUUUUGUACGGAACGAAAAGGCUCUGGCUAAUACCUGGGGCUCAUGACGGUACCGUAAGAAUAAGCACCGGCUAACUACGUG